AGUGAACGCUGGCGGUAGGCCUAACACAUGCAAGUCGAACGGCAGCACAGUAAGAGCUUGCUCUUACGGGUGGCGAGUGGCGGACGGGUGAGGAAUACAUCGGAAUCUACUUUUUCGUGGGGGAUAACGUAGGGAAACUUACGCUAAUACCGCAUACGACCUACGGGUGAAAGCAGGGGAUCUUCGGACCUUGCGCGAUUGAAUGAGCCGAUGUCGGAUUAGCUAGUUGGCGGGGUAAGGGCCCACCAAGGCGACGAUCCGUAGCUGGUCUGAGAGGAUGAUCAGCCACACUGGAACUGAGACACGGUCCAGACUCCUACGGGAGGCAGCAGUGGGGAAUAUUGGACAAAGGGCGCAAGCCUGAUCCAGCCAUACCGCGUGGGUGAAGAAGGCCUUCGGGUUGUAAAGCCCUUUUGUUGGGAAAGAAAAGCAGCAGGUUAAUACCCCGCUGUCCUGACGGUACCCAAAGAAUAAGCACCGGCUAACUUCGUG
This 492-nucleotide ribosomal RNA is filed under the name uncultured bacterium. RNAcentral describes it as "partial 16S ribosomal RNA". It matches the Rfam family "Bacterial small subunit ribosomal RNA", at positions 29 to 507 of the family's 1533-position model. The record is from RNAcentral.